AAGUCGUAACAAGGUUUCCGUAGGUGAACCUGCGGAAGGAUCAUUAACACGUAUCCACGUAUCAACCAACUGUGAACUUGUUUUCAAUUCUCCCUGAUUGUUUCACGACAUCAGGCAAACACCCAAUCAUAAACCUAUAUCACAACCUUUUUUGCUAGUUGACUUUUAUAUGUUGUUUGUCUUUCGUACUUCAUUGUACUGAAGCCUCACACACGUUGAUUUAUUUGAACGUUAAAAUUACAACUCUUAGCAAUGGAUAUCUUGGUUCUC
Molecule: unclassified non-coding RNA, 270 nt
Filed under: fungal sp.
Lineage: Eukaryota; Fungi
Description: partial internal transcribed spacer region
Rfam family: Eukaryotic small subunit ribosomal RNA (bases 1-46)
Source: RNAcentral